AUGAACGCUGGCGGCGUGCCUAAUCCAUGCCAGUCGAGCGAACGGACGAGAAGCUUGCUUCUCUGAUGUUAGCGGCGGACGGGUGAGUAACACGUGGAUAACCUACCUAUAAGACUGGGAUAACUUCGGGAAACCGGAUCUAAUACCGGAUGAUAUUUUGAACCGCAUGGUUCAAAAGUGAAAGACGGUCUUGCUGUCACUUAUAGAUGGAUCCGCGCUGCAUUAGCUAGUUGGUAAGGUAACGGCUUACCAAGGCAACGAUGCAUAGCCGACCUGAGAGGGUGAUCGGCCACACUGGAACUGAGACACGGUCCAGACUCCUACGGGAGGCAGCAGUAGGGAAUCUUCCGCAAUGGGCGAAAGCCUGACGGAGCAACGCCGCGUGAGUGAUGAAGGUCUUCGGAUCGUAAAACUCUGUUAUUAGGGAAGAACAUAUGUGUAAGUAACUGUGCACAUCUUGACGGUACCUAAUCAGAAAGCCACGGCUAACUACGUG
RNAcentral lists this ribosomal RNA (496 nucleotides) under uncultured bacterium. Its description in RNAcentral is "partial 16S ribosomal RNA". It matches the Rfam family "Bacterial small subunit ribosomal RNA", at positions 29 to 507 of the family's 1533-position model. The record is from RNAcentral.